UAAGGGAUAUUGCACAAUGGGCGAAAGCCUGAUGCAGCAACGCCGCGUGAGUGAUGAAGGCCUUCGGGUUGUAAAACUCUUUUCUGAGGGACGAGCAAGGACGGUACCUCAGGAAUAAGUCCCGGCUAACUACGUGCCAGCAGCCGCGGUAAAACGUAGGGGGCGAGCGUUAUCCGGAUUUACUGGGCGUAAAGCGCGCGCAGGCGGUUUGGUAGGUUGGACGUUAAAGCUCUUGGCUUAACUAAGAGAGGUCGUUCAAAACCACCAGACUUGAGGUCGGUAGAGGGGAGUGGAAUUCCCGGUGUAGUGGUGGAAUGCGCAGAUAUCGGGAGGAACACCUGUGGCGAAAGCGGCUCCCUGGACCGCACCUGACGCUCAUGCGCGAAAGCGUGGGGAGCGAACGGG
Molecule: ribosomal RNA, 405 nt
Filed under: uncultured bacterium
Lineage: Bacteria
Description: bacterial SSU rRNA
Rfam family: Bacterial small subunit ribosomal RNA
Source: RNAcentral